UACGGAGGGUGCAAGCGUUAUCCGGAUUCACUGGGUUUAAAGGGUGCGUAGGUGGGCUGGUAAGUCCGUGGUGAAAUCUCCAAGCUUAACUUGGAAACUGCCGUGGAUACUAUUAGUCUUGAAUACUUUGGAGGUAAGCGGAAUAUGUCAUGUAGCGGUGAAAUGCUUAGAUAUGACAUAGAACACCAAUUGCGCAGGCAGCUUACUACACAAUAAUUGACACUGAGGCACGAAAGCGUGGGGAUCAAACAGG
Molecule: ribosomal RNA, 253 nt
Filed under: uncultured bacterium
Lineage: Bacteria
Description: partial 16S ribosomal RNA
Rfam family: Bacterial small subunit ribosomal RNA
Source: RNAcentral